GCCAGACUCCUACGGGAGGCAGCAGUGGGGGAUAUUGCACAAUGGGGGGAACCCUGAUGCAGCGACGCCGCGUGGGUGAAGGAGCGUUUCGGCGCGUAAAGCCCUAUCGGCAGGGAAGAAGGAGGACGGUACCUGACUAAGAAGCCCCGGCUAACUACGUGCCAGCAGCCGCGGUAAUACGUAGGGGGCAAGCGUUAUCCGGAUUUACUGGGUGUAAAGGGGGCGCAGACGGCAGCGCAAGCCAGGAGUGAAAGCCCGGGGCCCAACCCCGGGACUGCUCUUGGAACUGCGCGGCUGGAGUGCAGGAGGGGCAGGCGGAAUUCCUGGUGUAGCGGUGAAAUGCGUAGAUAUCAGGAGGAACACCGGUGGCGAAGGCGGCCCGCUGGACUGCGACUGACGUUGAGGCCCGAAAGCGUGGGGAGCAAACAGGAUUAGAUACCCGGGUA
Molecule: ribosomal RNA, 446 nt
Filed under: uncultured bacterium
Lineage: Bacteria
Description: partial 16S ribosomal RNA
Rfam family: Bacterial small subunit ribosomal RNA
Source: RNAcentral